RNAcentral lists this ribosomal RNA (254 nucleotides) under uncultured bacterium. Its description in RNAcentral is "partial 16S ribosomal RNA". It matches the Rfam family "Bacterial small subunit ribosomal RNA", at positions 524 to 776 of the family's 1533-position model. The record is from RNAcentral.
UACAGAGGGUGCGAGCGUUGUUCGGAAUUACUAGGCGUAAAGCGCGCGCAGGCGGCCCUUUAAGUCCGUCGGUCAAAUGCCGGGGCUCAACCCCGAGCGUGCCGAGGAUACUGGAGGGCUGGAGACACGUAGAGGCAAGCGGAAUUCCGGGUGUAGCGGUGGAAUGCGUAGAGAUCCGGAAGAACACCGGAGGCGAAGGCGGCUUGCUGGGCGUGAUCUGACGCUGAGGCGCGAAAGCGUGGGGAGCGAACAGG